This 448-nucleotide ribosomal RNA is filed under the name uncultured bacterium. Its description in RNAcentral is "partial 16S ribosomal RNA". It matches the Rfam family "Bacterial small subunit ribosomal RNA", at positions 329 to 794 of the family's 1533-position model. The record is from RNAcentral.
CUCCAGACUCCUACGGGAGGCAGCAGUGGGGAAUAUUGCACAAUGGGGGAAACCCUGAUGCAGCGACGCCGCGUGAGUGAAGAAGUAUUUCGGUAUGUAAAGCUCUAUCAGCAGGGAAGAAAAUGACGGUACCUGACUAAGAAGCCCCGGCUAACUACGUGCCAGCAGCCGCGGUAAUACGUAGGGGGCAAGCGUUAUCCGGAUUUACUGGGUGUAAAGGGAGCGUAGACGGCAUGGCAAGUCAGAUGUGAAAGCCCGGGGCUCAACCCCGGGACUGCAUUUGAAACUGUCAGGUUGGAGUGCAGGAGAGGUAAGUGGAAUUCCUAGUGUAGCGGUGAAAUGCGUAGAUAUUAGGAGGAACACCGGCGGCGAAGGCGGCCUGCUGGACCGUGACUGACGUUGAGGCUCGAGAGCGUGGGGAGCAAACAGGAUUAGAUACCCCGGUAAC